CCACCCCUUCCCAUCCCGAACAGGACCGUGAAACAGCUCCGCGCCGAUGAUAGUGCGGAUUCCCGUGUGAAAGUAGGUCAUCGCCAGGC
Molecule: ribosomal RNA, 89 nt
Filed under: Cupriavidus alkaliphilus
Lineage: Bacteria; Pseudomonadati; Pseudomonadota; Betaproteobacteria; Burkholderiales; Burkholderiaceae
Source: RNAcentral